This 253-nucleotide ribosomal RNA is filed under the name uncultured bacterium. Its description in RNAcentral is "partial 16S ribosomal RNA". It matches the Rfam family "Bacterial small subunit ribosomal RNA", at positions 524 to 776 of the family's 1533-position model. The record is from RNAcentral.
UACGGAGGAUGCAAGCGUUAUCCGGAAUGAUUGGGCGUAAAGCGUCCGCAGGUGGCUAUGUAAGUCUGCUGUUAAAGAGUGAGGCUCAACCUCAUAAAAGCAGUGGAAACUACAUAGCUAGAGUACGUUCGGGGCAGAGGGAAUUCCUGGUGUAGCGGUGAAAUGCGUAGAGAUCAGGAAGAACACCAGUGGCGAAGGCGCUCUGCUAGGCCGUAACUGACACUGAGGGACGAAAGCUAGGGGAGCGAAUGGG